GUGACAGCCGCCGCGGUAAUACGUAGGGUGCGAGCGUUAAUCGGAGUUACUGGGCGUAAAGCGUGCGCAGGCGGGCUUUUAAGCCAGACGUGAAAUCCCCGGGCUUAACCUGGGAAUGGCGUUUGGGACUGGAAGUCUGGAGUACGGCAGAGGAGACUGGAAUUCCUGGUGUAGCAGUGAAAUGCGUAGAUAUCAGGAGGAACACCGAUGGCGAAGGCAGGUCUCUGGGCUGAUACUGACGCUCAUGCACGAAAGCGUGGGGAGCAAACAGGAUUAGAUACCCUAGUAGUCC
RNAcentral lists this ribosomal RNA (292 nucleotides) under uncultured bacterium. RNAcentral describes it as "partial 16S ribosomal RNA". It matches the Rfam family "Bacterial small subunit ribosomal RNA", at positions 505 to 796 of the family's 1533-position model. The record is from RNAcentral.